UCCUAAUCUGCUGAGUAAAGUGCAAAGUGCACGUAUGUGCAGCAAGACAAUCCAAAGACUCCAGAGGUCACUUUGCAGUUUAUUACGAUAAAUCUCCAUUUUUUUUAUUUUUUUUUUACAUCCAUACAGAAUUUGCAACAUAAUUUUGGCUUAUGUAAACAAUUCAGAAGUGAAGCGUCAGCCGAAAGAAAAGAAGGCCAAACAUUAUUCAUAUAAGCUACGCUAUGAAUAAAUGACAAGGUGCAGCAUUGUUUUCCCCCCCCAAACAUCCAAACAUGGUCCUUGUCCUGUGGUCUUGUUGGCAGGGUGACACUGGACUGGACCACAGGGACUCUGCAUGGAGCCUUCACCAUCCUGGCUGGACUUAAGUCUGCUGUCUGGUCAUUGAACGCAACAUGAACGCACAGCAGGCGGGCCAUGCAGAGUUUGCCACUGCAACGUUCCAAAGAACAACAAAGAAGGCUGUUGGAAGCAUUGAAAUCAGGAAAAGGAUAAAAGUCUCUUCAGAGUUCCUGGAGAGGUAACCAAGAAGGGCAAAAGAUGUCAAGAUGGUACAAAAGCCCAGGAGGAAAAUGGCACACAGUCCAGUCCAAGAAGCAGAGCUUCCAGUGACCACUUUGUUGAAGAGCCCAGCCCUCACCUCCAUCAGGUCAUCCAUGUGUUCCACACCACGCCGAUCAUUCUGCACGGCAUUGUAGGGAACGUAGACGCGAGGCUUCUUCAUGUGCUCCGGCUUCUCUGACGUGCCGUGCAGGAUCAGCUUCCAGUUCA
Non-coding RNA from Nerophis lumbriciformis (worm pipefish), 771 nucleotides. Lineage: Eukaryota; Metazoa; Chordata; Actinopteri; Syngnathiformes; Syngnathidae. The record is from RefSeq and is a predicted model, not a curated record.